CUAAAAAUAAUAGUAAAAUAUUUUAUAUUA
RNAcentral lists this transfer RNA (30 nucleotides) under Heptacyclus virgatus. RNAcentral describes it as "partial tRNA-Leu". The record is from RNAcentral. Lineage: Eukaryota; Metazoa; Annelida; Clitellata; Hirudinida; Piscicolidae.